UGCCCUUCUAGAAUAUAUCAAGUUGCUCUGUGAAGAGAGUUGAACCAGGUUCUUAACCCAGUUUCUCCUACAAAGCUCUACUGUUUUCCCAGCCUCAGCCAAGGGCAUCCCCUUGGAGCUCCAUACCUCAAGGGAACGUCUGGUGGAGACCCCCUCCUGGGAAGGCUUCCAGAACGCCUGGCCCAGCCCAACUGCGGACCAACAGUGGACCACGAGGCAGCUCGACCCCACAAAGGACCCAUUGUGGGACUGCAGAAAGCUAAGACCAAACCCUGUUGGCCUCUCUGCAGAGCCCUGUCCAAGGCUCCCAGCGCCCCCCCCCCCUUCUGUAGUGCCCUCAGACCCAGAGGACAAGGACAAGGCCAGAGGCAGGGAGAGGAACACAGGCUACGUUAACCUGCAAGCCUCCAGCCGCUGCCAGAAAGGCUGGAGCUGCCAGCUCUGCUGCUCUGAGCGGUCAGGCGGGGUGGCUCAGCCUCACCUGUCAGCUGGUGUGGGGUCCGCUAAAGGAGGCUCGGGAGGGAGGAGGGGGUGCUGGUUGGUUCCCAACUGGAGGAAACCUGUUUCCCGUGCCGGGACGGAGGGAAUGCAAGUCGCCCAGCAGGAGCAGCUGCCAUGUGGUGAGGCCACUCUGGGAGAAGCCAUGAGAGGGAGCUUGCAAGUGAAUCUGCUGUGCCUGACAACAGCCAGAGGACUGCGCUUGGAAAUGGGAUGUACAUAGCCCUGGUGGACAGCUUGAUUGUGACCUCAGGGCACACUUUGGCCCAGAGGUGCUCAGCUGAACUGCGUCUGGAUGCUGGGACAUGUAAACGUCUGUUGUUUUAAGCCUCCAAGUUUGGGAUAAUUGCUGAUGUGUCAAGAGGCAGCAACCACACUGCCCUAGAAGCUGGUUGUGAAGAUUACAUAGUAUGCUUAAUGCUUGAUGCAUAGUAGGUACUAAUUAAAGCUUGCUGAAUGAAUCAAUCAAUAAAUGAAACAAUGUCCUACAAUGUAGGAGAUUUCCUGAAUCCAUGUGUUCAAGCCCUUCUACCCACUUCUGCCAAAAAACAUCACUGAGAGUUGUUUAAAGCUGGAAAAAUCUGGGUCAGAUUUGUUUUCUGUUAUGGGAGACUGGUUUCUGUUCCAUGGGUAUGACUGGCUUAGCCAUGAUCUGGAUGAAGAGGGAUUACAAAAUAAUAAUCCUUUGUCAACUCAGAGACUGCUUGGGAACACUGGCCUUGUAAUAAGCAGGUCUCUGAAGCUGUGACUCCCCUUCCUCGCUCUAUUAAAGUCUCCUGACCAAUCAGAAGACA
Molecule: long non-coding RNA, 1292 nt
Organism: Heterocephalus glaber (naked mole-rat)
Lineage: Eukaryota; Metazoa; Chordata; Mammalia; Rodentia; Bathyergidae
Source: RefSeq, a predicted model, not a curated record